UCCUCCUCAAACCGGAGCAUAGCAGAAGCAUGCAAUAUACUUUAUCAGCUAUUGCAGAUGGACUUUCCAGUCCUAUCUUCUUCUGGUAGGGCCAAAGAGCUACCCCGUCUGGUCGAUGAGUGUAGGGAGGAAUAUAUCGACGAUGACUCAUAUGCAAGAUUAUACAAUCUCAAAGAAAUUCUGGAGCUAAUGGAGGAAUAUAACUGCAGGAAACUUCGUAUGGAAGAUACAGUUUUGUCACUUGCACAUCUGAAUGGAGUCCCGAGAGACCAGAUUUCUUCUAUUGUGACUAGCAUGUUGGCUGUAACAAUGUCGAGUGCUUCACACAGCUUGACAUAUACUUCUGCAGCAUACAAUAACUUACUCAGAGAGUACUUCAGAUAGUUUACCUCAAAGUUGUUUCAUAUUACAACGAAAUACGUGUAUUUAAUAUAGAAUGACAAUGUGUAAUGAAAUUUUCAAAGGUUAUAGAUUAAAGUUUACAGAUUUAUUAUAUUCUGCUUGCAUUAUAGUGUAAUGGUCUAAUCAUAUUUUAAUCAUCUCUCUAAGCAUAAGCACAAAUGCAUUCUACAAUCAACACUACUUGUAUAAUGUUUUAGUAUAUUCCACUUAUACUAACAUUGUUUAAAUUUAUAAGUUCGUAGCUCACACAUAUUCAGUGAUGACACCAGGUGGGAGAUCAAGUUGUUCGUGCACUGGAUCUACCUCUUCUACCCAUAAUGCGACGGAGACAGCAUCGCCGUCACAUGUUGCAUCGCAGGCGUCUGAUCCCUCAGUCGCGCAUACACUGGGCACUGCAUCAUCGUCGACCAGCCGACGAGGAUGUGGACUUACGCGUGGGUUACUUUUAGAGCGACUUACGCGUGAGGGUUGAGUGAUGGUAGAGUUCCUAAAGGACUGCCUUAGACCUGUUGGGGACAAUGCCAGGUUGUUUAUGUCGGAGGUCAGUGUCUUAUGUCGAUCUCUGAUACCCCCACCACCCCCCGUUGGUCAGACGUGACAGAUGAUGUGCGUCAGCUCAUCCGUCAGUGCCUUCAGGAUAAAUUUAUCUUGAAUUUCACUGUUUCGUACAUUUCUCAUGCCGUCAACGACAUGGUCAAGGAGUGGUUCAAGGAGUACCGCGGUGACUUACACCAGCGGUACAAGCGGUGCAUGAGCCAUGAGGAGGGUAUACUGUCCGCACCGCUGCACAUGACCCAUGACGACUGGUGGAUACUCUACGAGAGAUUUUUGUCUGAGUCUUUUCAGGUAAUAUUUACAUAUUUACGAUAUCUUAAGGUAACAAUUAAAUUCACAAUUAAUAACAAUGUAUUAUGAAUAAUGUGUUCAGUAGAGGAGUAAAAUAAAUUCUGGCAACAGGAGAAAGUUAGAAGUAAACCACGUAGCUGGUUCAAAGUCAUUUAUACAACUUCGUUACAACAUGGUAAAAAAUUACUGUUGAUUAUUAAGUUGAUAUAUUCUUUCCAUGCAUUUAUAUUAACUCUAUUGUCCUUUCGAUUACGCAGCGAGAUUCCAUCACUGGCCAGGAGCCCGGACCAGUAGACCUCUACAGAGGGACUCACUGUCUGCAGGUGACAGGAUCUUGGGUACAUCCUAGAGCCAGCGAGAAUUGGGUAAAAAUCCUUAUAUUGUAAAAUUUAAUUGCAUUGAAUUAUAAUAAUGUCAUUUGUUAUGAAAAUUCAUAUGUUUUCAUUACAGGCGGUGAUGGACACCUUACGCAAUCAGCCUACUCCCGAUGGUACUCAGCAGAGUGAGCCAGAGAUCCUAAGUAAGG
This is a long non-coding RNA of Magnolia sinica, 1774 nucleotides long. RefSeq lists it as uncharacterized. The record is from RefSeq and is a predicted model, not a curated record. NCBI's taxonomy places the organism in Eukaryota, Viridiplantae, Streptophyta, Magnoliopsida, Magnoliales, Magnoliaceae. The transcript is spliced from 3 exons.